This 492-nucleotide ribosomal RNA is filed under the name uncultured bacterium. RNAcentral describes it as "partial 16S ribosomal RNA". It matches the Rfam family "Bacterial small subunit ribosomal RNA", at positions 29 to 507 of the family's 1533-position model. The record is from RNAcentral.
AGUGAACGCUGGCGGUAGGCCUAACACAUGCAAGUCGAACGGCAGCACAGUAAGAGCUUGCUCUUACGGGUGGCGAGUGGCGGACGUGUGAGGAAUACAUCGUAAUCUACUUUUUCGUGGGGGAUCACGUAGGGAAACCUACGCUAGUACCGCAUACGACCUACGGGUGAAAGCAGGGGAUCUUCGGACCUUGCGCGAUUGAAUGAGCCGAUGUCGGAUUAGCUAGUUGGCGGGUGAAAGGCCCACCAGGGCGACGAUCCGUAGCUGGACUGGGAGGAUGAUCAGCCACACUGGAGCUGAGACACGGUCCAGAGUCCUACGGGAGGCAGCAGUGGGGAAUAUUGGGCAGCAGGCGCAAGCCUGAUCCAGCCAGACCGCGUGGGUGAAGAAGGCCUUCGGGUUGUGAAGCCCUUUUGUUGGGAAAGAACAGCAGCAGGUUAAUACCCCGCUGUUCUGACGGUACCCAAAGAAUAAGCACCGGCUAACUUCGUG